Molecule: long non-coding RNA, 1163 nt
Filed under: Bemisia tabaci
Lineage: Eukaryota; Metazoa; Arthropoda; Insecta; Hemiptera; Aleyrodidae
Description: lncRNA ENSSSA3NGG011616
Source: RNAcentral
AUCCUCCUCUCGCUCGCUCCCGCAGAACCAGGCGCGCGAUCAGUGAGCUUGGCCCUCUCUCGCCGGGCGUCCAGCUUUUGUCCUCUCUCUCGCACACACUCGCGACUGUCCUCGGUGUGCGUGUCGGUGUCAGUUACCGUCCGUUUGUGCGACGCACCUGUGCCGCGGAAAGUGCGUUCGAGUUUUUCGGCUUUUCGGCUCGUUACUUACGUUGUGUUUCACGUCGGUCCGAUUGCGAGUCGGGAUCUGCAGUCUUGGACUGUCGUUUUCGUAGGUGUAGUUUUGAGUGCUUGUAACUUUCUUUCUCUAAUAAAAGCUGUGCUAACCGUACCUACGAUAUAGAAGCAGUGUCACAUCGAAAAUUUUAUCAUUUUUUAAGUUCAAGAUUUUGCGUAAAACCGUUGUAGUGAGUUACGUCUCGCGGGAAUUGAGAGUUGUGAAAGAGCAAUUCAUUUCCGUCCAGUGUUAACCCGUAUUGUGACUUUGAAUCGAACUAGCAAGAUUUGUGCGCGCUUGUUGAACUCGAACUAACACCUCAUCGUGAAAUAUCAAGUACUAAUUUCAUAGCGCAAGCGGUCAUCGCUCGUUGUGUGGGGGGUUGAACUGGGGAAGUGCGCGGUAUCUGAGGAGCCUGCCGGUGAGGUAUGAGGGGUGCGCGAAGUGAUGGGGAAGCGCAGAUACCAUGGUCAGCGUGAGGCCCUGGUGCUACGCCUGUCAAGUCCUCUACUUCCAGAACAACAACAACGUCAUCCAGGAACAGCCCAAGUUCCCGUACAAACCGUGGAAAACCCGCAAGCCCCGCUCCUACAACAAGAAUUAUAGUAAGGAUGCUAAACCAAACCUGGUGGUCCUCCGCCGCAUACAACACUUCAGAGGCACGUUAAAGUUAGAAAACCUGUCUUCAUACCAAGGUUUCAUUUUCCUCAUGGAAGACCAAAAGACCAAAAUAAUCUAGAAAAAAUUUUGGAUGCUGUACGAGUUGCGUUCCAGUCACUUCCUAAACCGCAAGCGUCAAAGAAGAGUUCGGAAUUAUUACAAAGGUAAAAAAAAUAAAGUUUUUAAAAACGUACUUUUUAGUCUGUCUGACUGAAUUUAAUUUUCCUCUCGUUUGUUUUCUCUUUCCUAGUUAUGUGAUAGGUAUUUCCGUUUGCAAUGAUCUGAGA